UGUCGUCCAGCUCGUGUCGUGAGAUGUUGGGUUAAGUCCCGCAACGAGCGCAACCCUCGCCUUUAGUUGCCACCAUUCAGUUGGGCACUCUAAGGAGACUGCCGGUGUUAAACCGGAGGAAGGUGGGGAUGACGUCAAGUCCUCAUGGCCCUUAUAUCCAGGGCUACACACGUCAUACAAUGGCCGGUACAAAGGGCAGCCAACCCGCGAGGGGGAGCCAAUCCCGUAAAGCCGGUCGUAGUCCGGAUCGCAGUCUGCAACUCGACUGCGUGAAGUCGGAAUCGCUAGUAAUCGUGGAUCAGCAUGUCACGGUGAAUACGUUCCCGGGUCUU
RNAcentral lists this ribosomal RNA (332 nucleotides) under uncultured Steroidobacter sp. RNAcentral's name for it is "bacterial SSU rRNA". It matches the Rfam family "Bacterial small subunit ribosomal RNA", at positions 1050 to 1382 of the family's 1533-position model. The record is from RNAcentral. Lineage: Bacteria; Pseudomonadati; Pseudomonadota; Gammaproteobacteria; Steroidobacterales; Steroidobacteraceae.